CGUCGCCAGUUUGGCGGUUUCUUCCCCCGGAGGCCACGAAGAACAUCCUGAACGAAGACGAGACAAAACUGAAUUUUUGGAACCCCAAGGCCAUGUUGACUUUCUGGGAAGAUUCUUACUCCAAACUGACAAUAGAUGGUAUGCCAAUAGUUGGACUCCUUGUCCCUAAUUAAAAACAAGAAAGCAAAUAACAUUUGACCCUCAGGAAAUGGGGCCUGAGGCAAAAUCCCAACUUGCAUUAUUCCAUAAAUAAUCACAAUUUAUAAUGUAUCUUCUUAUGUUUGCUUUCAUUUCUGAACUAGGUUAUAAAUUUAAGAGGGAGAAAUUAUCCAGAUUAUAAACUCAAAAGCAAUGGACCUUGAAUUAAAGAGGUUAGGGUUUAUGUCCCAGCUCCAUGCAGUAUCAAACCUGGAACCAUGCACAAUUUCCAUCAUCUUUCUGAGUUAUAAUUUCUUCACCUAUAAAAUGGGUUAACAAUACUUUGACCACCUUCCUUGCAAGGUUGUUCAGAAUGUUUUGUAAACCAUGAAAUGCUACAUAAAUAGAACUAUAAUUACCCUAAAAUGGAUCUGUACUCUUAUCAAUUUGAACAGCUCCACAGAGGAAUGCUAGCAAUAAUGAUUAUUUAUACAAUCUUAUACUGUUAGUGACUGAUUAGAUGGGGACAGGGAGGAGAAGAAAGAUAACUGGAAUUUUAUAUUUGAGGUGCCUGGGGAAAUAAUGAUACCUUGGCAGAGAUAGGGAAAUUGACAGAGAAAUGUGGAUGGAGAUGGGCCCAUAACUGAUUAGUUCAUAGAGAUCAUUGAUUUAAAGCCAGAAUUGUCCUAGCGAGGCUGUCUAAUUCAACUCAGUCAUUUUAUAGAUGGAAAACUUAAGUCCAAAAAGAGUUAGUCAAUAGAUACUAAAUGUCUGAUAUGUCCCAAGUAGCUUGAGUGUCACAGCGAAGGUCACAUGAAGAGUCUUAAGUGACAGAGGCAGGAUUUGAACCCAGUUCCUUUUACUUUAAUUCCAGUACUCUUUGGCAUACUGGAUUCAGGAUGGUAGCUUCCAAGGGGAAAUGCCAAGUAAGCAGUUGAGCUUGUGGGUUAGGGUUAGGGCCUGAGGGAGAGGAAAAAAAUAAGAAACAAAUUUUAAUUAUAAGCAGAGAGAAGAAAUGAAUAUAGUUGAGCUCAAUGAUGGCAGAAAAAUGCUGGGAUAAGUAGGAGAAUGAGGAUCCUUUUAGGUAAAGUUCCUUGUGGAUGGUGUGUGAAAUCCCUCUAGCUCUGGAGGGCAAUCCUUUACACUUGUGUAGAGACUCAGAACAGAUGUAGACAGAUGCUGGAAGAGCAGAUGGAAGGACCGGCCAAUUAAACAGGCUCAUAGAAAUAGAACUUCUUAGUUAAACACCAGAGGCAGAUGGCAAUUUGCUUCUGCAUUUCAAGGAUCCAUGAUUUUCAUCAGUUUUCUUGUCUCUGCUUACACGGAUUGCUACCAUUACUUAUAGGUAUUUUCUCUGAGUUGCCAAACCUCAGACUAUGAUCUUUUGGGAAUUUAAGGACUCUUUAUUAUCUUUGAAAAACCUGCAUGAGCUCAUGCUUUGCUGACAGUCUUUAAGAGUCCAGGAUCCAAACUGCCAUAUUCUAGAUAGGUGUUAAGGGUACUUUGGUCCUAAGGUUUUUAUAAUACUAUUAUUUUUUAAAACUUUGUGACACUGAACAAAUCAUGUUUAGAUCUCAGUUUCUGUACUUAUGAAAUAGACUAGGCAGUCUAUAAAUUCUAUAUUCCAUGACAAUAUAGGUUUUUGUCUUUAGAAGAUGUUUUCCUUUAAACUAGAGCCCUUAAACCUGCCUGACUCCAUUUAAUUAAAAUUAAUUCAGCUAAGGAACCAAAAAAAAUGUUUCUACUACCAACCCUGUCUUAGGAGUAUACGUUCUCUUUUCUGCGCCUCCAGCUAAAUGAUCAUCUUGUUAUAAAAUUUUAAUUAAUCUAAUUUUCUCUUCAAUUAACAAAAAUCAAUUUCUUUGCUUUGUCUACUCUCCUUUUUCCACUGGAAAAAGAAUACCCUUGUAACAGGUACAUAUAAUUCAAGCAAAACAAAUUUUAGAUGGUCACUUGUACUCAAAUAUAACAGAACUAGGAUGUUGAGUGAUCUGGAAACCAUGAUACAUGAAGAAUAGGAACUAGGGAUAUUUGAUCUGGAAAGAUGAGAUUUAGUGGAGGUAUGAUUUCUGUCUUCAAAUAUUUGAAAGGUUGUUAUGAGUGAAAAAGAGGGGUACAGUUUAUUCUGUGCGGCCAGAGUGCAGAACCUAGACUAUGUAUCUCUUGUACCUAGAAAUUUUCUUGUCUCUUCCAUUAGAAUGGAAGCUCCUUGAGGAUAGGGAAUAAAUUUGUUGUGGAGUUUUUCUUUUCUUUUCUUUUCUUUCUUUCUUUCUUGCUUGCUUUCUGCCUUGUUUUGUACCCUUGGCAUUUUGUACAGUACCUAGCAUACAGCAAGUGUCAACUAUUUGCUCACUGACUGAUUGGAUAAAGUUACAAAGAAGCACAAUAUGAAAGAUUUUUGUAAGAAUGAGAAUGGUUUCUGAACAGAAGACCUUGAGAGAUUGUAAGCUUCUUGUUCUUAGCAGUGUUUAAGCAGAAUCUCUGAGAGGCUCUUAAAAGGAUUCCUUUAUGGACAAGGAAACUAGGUAGAUGUCUUUUGUAGAGGAAAAAAGCCAAACUAUUUGGUUUCCAGAUUGCAAGACAUUUUAAAUUCAGUUCUUGUAUUUGAUAUCCUCUUAAUAAAUGUGUCAAAUGAAUGAA
Long non-coding RNA from Antechinus flavipes (yellow-footed antechinus), 2778 nucleotides. RefSeq lists it as uncharacterized. Lineage: Eukaryota; Metazoa; Chordata; Mammalia; Dasyuromorphia; Dasyuridae. The transcript has 2 exons. The record is from RefSeq and is a predicted model, not a curated record.